Long non-coding RNA from Drosophila ananassae, 168 nucleotides. RefSeq lists it as uncharacterized. The record is from RefSeq and is a predicted model, not a curated record. Lineage: Eukaryota; Metazoa; Arthropoda; Insecta; Diptera; Drosophilidae. The transcript has 2 exons.
GGGUUCCGGAUUGAGGCUUUCCGUCUGAACCGUGUUUUCCUGGAUCUCCGGGGUUUUUUCUUCUGGUCCUUCUUGGAGCAACGCAAAGGCUAUUUGUGUUUAGCCGUUUGGGACUUCCGUUUUUGGUUCAGAACCCCUACAAAUAUAAAAAAAAAUCUUUCUAUCCUA